Molecule: ribosomal RNA, 288 nt
Filed under: uncultured bacterium
Lineage: Bacteria
Description: partial 16S ribosomal RNA
Rfam family: Bacterial small subunit ribosomal RNA
Source: RNAcentral
AUGGCCCUACGGGGGGCAGCAGUGAGGAAUAUUGGUCAAUGGGCGAGAGCCUGAACCAGCCAAGUCGCGUGAGGGAAGACGGUCCUAUGGAUUGUAAACCUCUUUUGUCGGGGAGCAAAAAGGCCUCGUGAGGCCACAAGUGAGAGUACCCGAAGAAAAAGCAUCGGCUAACUCCGUGCCAGCAGCCGCGGUAAUACGGAGGAUGCGAGCGUUAUCCGGAUUUAUUGGGUUUAAAGGGUGCGUAGGUGGUUAAUUAAGUCAGCGGUGAAAGUUUGUGGCUCAACCAUA